Molecule: ribosomal RNA, 253 nt
Filed under: uncultured bacterium
Lineage: Bacteria
Description: partial 16S ribosomal RNA
Rfam family: Bacterial small subunit ribosomal RNA
Source: RNAcentral
UACGGAGGGGGCAAGCGUUGUUCGGAAUUACUGGGCGUAAAGGGCUCGUAGGCGGCCAACUAAGUCAGACGUGAAAUCCCUAGGCUCAACCUAGGAACUGCGUCUGAUACUGGAUGGCUUGAGUCCGGGAGAGGGAUGCAGAAUUCCAGGUGUAGCGGUGAAAUGCGUAGAUAUCUGGAGGAAUACCGGUGGCGAAGGCGGCAUCCUGGACCGGCAUUGACGCUGAGGAGCGAAAGCCAGGGGAGCAAACGGG